RNAcentral lists this ribosomal RNA (492 nucleotides) under uncultured bacterium. RNAcentral describes it as "partial 16S ribosomal RNA". It matches the Rfam family "Bacterial small subunit ribosomal RNA", at positions 29 to 507 of the family's 1533-position model. The record is from RNAcentral.
AGUGAACGCUGGCGGUAGGCCUAACACAUGCAAGUCGAACGGCAGCACAGUAAGAGCUUGCUCUUACGGGUGGCGAGUGGCGGACGGGUGAGGAAUACAUCGGAAUCUACUUUUUCGUGGGGGAUAACGUAGGGAAACUUACGCUAAUGCCGCAUACGACCUACGGGUGAAAGCAGGGGAUCUUCGGACCUUGCGCGAUUGAAUGAGCCGAUGUCGGAUUAGCUAGUUGGCGGGGUAAAGGCCCACCAAGGCGACGAUCCGUAGCUGGUCUGAGAGGAUGAUCAGCCACACUGGAACUGAGACACGGUCCAGACUCCUACGGGAGGCAGCAGUGGGGAAUAUUGGACAAUGGGCGCAAGCCUGAUCCAGCCAUACCGCGUGGGUGAAGAAGGCCUUCGGGUUGUAAAGCCCUUUUGUUGGGAAAGAACAGCAGCAGGUUAAUACCCCGCUGUUCUGACGGUACCCAAAGAAUAAGCACCGGCUAACUUCGUG